Molecule: ribosomal RNA, 253 nt
Filed under: uncultured bacterium
Lineage: Bacteria
Description: partial 16S ribosomal RNA
Rfam family: Bacterial small subunit ribosomal RNA
Source: RNAcentral
UACGAAGGGUGCAAGCGUUAAUCGGAAUUACUGGGCGUAAAGCGCGCGUAGGUGGCUUGAUAAGUUGGAUGUGAAAUCCCCGGGCUCAACCUGGGAACUGCAUCCAAAACUGUCUGGCUAGAGUGCGGUAGAGGGUAGUGGAAUUUCCAGUGUAGCGGUGAAAUACGUAGAUAUUGGAAGGAACACCAGUGGCGAAGGCGACUACCUGGACUGACACUGACACUGAGGUGCGAAAGCGUGGGGAGCAAACAGG